ACAUUUCUUAUAGAUUAUUUUAUAGGUAAAACCUGCCCACUGUAACAAAUGAAGGGCCGCGGUAUCUUGACCGUGCAAAGGUAGCAUAAUCAUUAGUCUUUUAAUUGGGGAAUGGAAUGAAUGGUUAAAUGAUUUUUUUCUAUUAUUUUUGUUAUAAUAAUUUAAAAAUUUGAUUUUAAGUGAAAAUACUUAAUUUUUUUAAAUAGACGAUAAGACCCUAUAGAAUUUUAUUUUAUUUUUCUUUAAGUAAGGUAAUUAAUAGUUUAAUUGGGGCAAUUUUAGAAUAUAAAUAAUUUCUUAAAUGUGAUUUUUUAAUAAUCUUUUAUAUUAGUUUAAAAAAAUUACCUUAGGGAUAACAGCGUAAUUACUAUUAAGAGUUCUUAUCGACAUAGUAGAUUGCGACCUCGAUGUUGAAUUAAAUUUAUUUAUGGGAGCAGAAUUUCAUAAAAAUUAGUCUGUUCGACUAUUAAAUUUUUACAUGAUCUGAG
This 488-nucleotide ribosomal RNA is filed under the name Yoshiicerus persimilis. RNAcentral's name for it is "partial large subunit ribosomal RNA". It matches the Rfam family "Bacterial large subunit ribosomal RNA", at positions 1826 to 2609 of the family's 2925-position model. The record is from RNAcentral. Lineage: Eukaryota; Metazoa; Arthropoda; Collembola; Entomobryomorpha; Tomoceridae.